RNAcentral lists this ribosomal RNA (807 nucleotides) under Triticum aestivum (bread wheat). Its description in RNAcentral is "partial small subunit ribosomal RNA". Lineage: Eukaryota; Viridiplantae; Streptophyta; Magnoliopsida; Poales; Poaceae. The record is from RNAcentral.
GCCGCGCGCCCGUCCACCCGACCUCUGCGCCGCGCCGCGCAGCGCCCCAGGCCACGGCCUCCGUGUCGCCUGACCAGCACCCUGUGCCCGGCCUCCGCGUCGCGCCCCAGGCUACGGUCUCCGCCCGGCCAUGUGCUGUGCCGCACCGCGUGCCCGUCCACCGCCCGCGGUGCACCAGCGUCUUCUAGCGCUCCGGCAGCACGAAUACGUGCGGCAGUGCCCUCCCAUCGGCAGCGAACAGUGGUGCGUAGCACGGCGGCGUGAGCCAAAACGAAUCCUUCGAUUCGUAACCGCACAUGAAAAUUGGAAAGGCCAUGGAGCCUUAUCCCUUCGCGAUUAUACACUUUAGCCCAUGCGGCUUUACCUAUUUUCAUAAUAGGCUUGUGUGUAUAAAUCUUGAAGUAAUUCCUGUACGUCUUAGGAUAACUGAACAUGGUUCAACUACUCGUGCUAUUCAUUAGCACUUGUCAUCUUUAUUAGACCAUGUAUGCAUGGAUAUGCAUUUCAACCCAUUUUCUGUUGAGUUUUACAAUUCUAGAAAUAUGUGUAUAUUUAUAUUUGACAUGUUCAAUGUGUUUACCACAUUCUUCAAAACAUGUUUUUCGCGAUUGAGAUUAAAUUUUCUCGCACAACAAUAUUGAUUUGCGAUUGAGAAAUAUAAUUUUUCUCGCAAAACAAUCUCAUUGCGAUUGAGAUUAAUUUUUCUUCCGCAAAAUAUUAAUUCACCUUGCUGAAUUAUCUUGCAACUUGAUACAAGAUCAUCUCAUUUAAUUUGAGAUCUAUAUAAUUCAAGUUUUUCACUUGAAC